RNAcentral lists this ribosomal RNA (466 nucleotides) under uncultured Pseudomonas sp. RNAcentral's name for it is "bacterial SSU rRNA". It matches the Rfam family "Bacterial small subunit ribosomal RNA", at positions 36 to 497 of the family's 1533-position model. Lineage: Bacteria; Pseudomonadati; Pseudomonadota; Gammaproteobacteria; Pseudomonadales; Pseudomonadaceae. The record is from RNAcentral.
CUGGCGGCAGGCCUAACACAUGCAAGUCGAGCGGAUGAAGGGAGCUUGCUCCUGAAUUCAGCGGCGGACGGGUGAGUAAUGCCUAGGAAUCUGCCUGGUAGUGGGGGACAACGUUUCGAAAGGAACGCUAAUACCGCAUACGUCCUACGGGAGAAAGCAGGGGACCUUCGGGCCUUGCGCUAUCAGAUGAGCCUAGGUCGGAUUAGCUAGUUGGUGAGGUAAUGGCUCACCAAGGCGACGAUCCGUAACUGGUCUGAGAGGAUGAUCAGUCACACUGGAACUGAGACACGGUCCAGACUCCUACGGGAGGCAGCAGUGGGGAAUAUUGGACAAUGGGCGAAAGCCUGAUCCAGCCAUGCCGCGUGUGUGAAGAAGGUCUUCGGAUUGUAAAGCACUUUAAGUUGGGAGGAAGGGCAUUAACCUAAUACGUUAGUGUUUUGACGUUACCGACAGAAUAAGCACCGGC